Arabidopsis thaliana (thale cress) is the source of this 203-nucleotide long non-coding RNA. RefSeq annotates it as other RNA. Lineage: Eukaryota; Viridiplantae; Streptophyta; Magnoliopsida; Brassicales; Brassicaceae. The transcript has a single exon. The record is from RefSeq.
CGCAUAGGCUUCUUUCUUAUGUUUGUGUCUUUUCUAUAUUGUUGUGUAAUCUGCUAGUUUUCUAGUAUAUGGCAAUUAUAAUAUUGUAUAGUUAGGUAUUAGCAUGAGGAAUUCAGCUGACAAUCGGUUGAUUAAGGUAUUUAUCAAUGGGAUGGAGCCCAUCACAACAAAUAUGAUGUGACUCAAAAUUUGUUGUCCUUAUU